AGAUUGAACGCUGGCGGCAUGCCUUACACAUGCAAGUCGAACGGUAACAGGUUAAGCUGACGAGUGGCGAACGGGUGAGUAAUAUAUCGGAACGUGCCCAGUCGUGGGGGAUAACUGCUCGAAAGAGCAGCUAAUACCGCAUACGACCUGAGGGUGAAAGCGGGGGAUCGCAAGACCUCGCGCGAUUGGAGCGGCCGAUAUCAGAUUAGGUAGUUGGUGGGGUAAAGGCCCACCAAGCCAACGAUCUGUAGCUGGUCUGAGAGGACGACCAGCCACACUGGGACUGAGACACGGCCCAGACUCCUACGGGAGGCAGCAGUGGGGAAUUUGGACAAUGGGCGCAAGCCUGAUCCAGCCAUGCCGCGUGCGGGAAGAAGGCCUCGGGUUGUAAACCGCUUUGUCAGGAGAAAGGUUACUGGUUAAUACCUGGGCUCAUGACGGUACCUGAAGAAUAAGCACCGGCUAACUACGUGCUAGCAGCCGCGGUAA
RNAcentral lists this ribosomal RNA (489 nucleotides) under uncultured soil bacterium. Its description in RNAcentral is "bacterial SSU rRNA". It matches the Rfam family "Bacterial small subunit ribosomal RNA", at positions 26 to 523 of the family's 1533-position model. The record is from RNAcentral.